Long non-coding RNA from Alosa sapidissima (American shad), 96 nucleotides. RefSeq lists it as uncharacterized. The transcript has 3 exons. The record is from RefSeq and is a predicted model, not a curated record. Lineage: Eukaryota; Metazoa; Chordata; Actinopteri; Clupeiformes; Clupeidae.
AUAGACGGUUUAAAUGCGGGAGCAGUACAGUAAUUCAUUUUCAGUGAUAUCGGUUAAAUAACAGUCAUGAAUGAGACAAUAUAAUUUCAGGGAAUU